UGCUAAGGGGAGAGGCUUUGGUUACCUCAGCGCGGCCGCAGUUCCGGUCUCCGAGCCCCUGUAGCUCAGUGUUCGUUCGCGGGGGCUGGUGGGAUCGGAAACCCGUGCUAGACUGAAAACACGCGCCUCUAAGGCUGAGAGGAGUUUAGUGCGGCUGCGCAGGAGCGCCGGCGCGCGCGACUCUCACUGUGGCGUAGCGGGUUUAAGGAGGCGGCUCGCUGGGGUGAGGCGUUUAGGGUGAGGUAACAGAGACCUUGGAGCCAGAUUUACUGGGUUUGUACCCCAGCCCCAACAGUUAAGCGCUCUAUGGCUUUGGGCAACUCAGGUAGCAUGAAUCUCAUCAGCACAGAGAAAAAGCUUCACUGAAAACUCAUUGCAGGUCACACCCCCUCAACUCAGAUGGCAACAGUGCAGUCAGAGGCCUGCCCUUCUAAGCCUCAGACCCAGGCAGCAGUGCGAACUGAAGGUUAAAACACAGAUGCCACUAACCUGCACACCAAAUGGCACGAGUCAGUGACACCAGCUCCGAGACCUGUUUUGAGCCCAGGCAAUGGUCCAAGUCACAAGUAGGUCACCUUGCUUGAUCUAACAACAGAUCAACCUCAGAAAGAGGCAUUUUUGAAAGAAUUUCACCCACUGAAAAAACAGCUGGCUAGUCCGUUUCUUUUCCCACUAAUAAAUGAGACGCAUUUAUUAUUUUAUUACACUUACCCAACCCAUAGACCACCUUCUAAACUGGCUGUUUCCUGAAAGUUGCCAGUGAAUUCGAAGGCCUGCUUCUCCCACUUUCAUGUGUGGAGGAUAAUCGUGAUUUCGACAAUAACUUGCCAUCUUUCUCUGAAUGUUCAUUCAACAAAUAAUUACUGUGCAUCCACUGAGUGCUAUCCCUGCCUGAGGCACUGAGGUAAGAAGUCUCUGUCCUCCUGGAGCUUUGCUGUCUUGUAGGAGACAGAGGGGACAAAUAAACACAUAGAUACGAUAUCAGGUGGUAUAUGUUCUGUGAGGAAGCAAAGAAGUGGGGUAAAGGACUAAAGAGUGGUGUAGCAGACGAGCUCGGUGCCUUGCCAGCAUCCCCGCGGCAUUCACCUGGGCACGCCGAGGCUGUUUCCCGUGAGCCCCUGAGGCCCUCUGCCUGGGGGCAGUUAUUUUCCUGGCCAUGGGAGAAUGCUUGGCCCACAAGCAGGGUAAGCAAGAGGUAUUAGAGAACGUCUUUCUCACUUUCCUCAUCUCAUAGUUACGAUAUCUCCUUUAAUCCUUUCUUUCACUAUUUCCUCCAAUUGGUUCACUUCUCAUUUCUCUGGUGGCUGUUUUUCUGAGAGUUCUGCCAUUUAAAUAAAAUGCGUCUACCACUGAUUGGGGCAGGGAAGCUGGACUGUCCACAGCCCUGCUUAGGGAGGCAGCCUCCAGGGGAAAAGCAGCAGGCUCCCUGCAGUGGUGCCCCCCUCCCUCAAAUUUUUUUAAAAGACGGGAGACAGAUCAUUUUCCCCUGCUCCAUCGCCAUCAUCAUUGUCAAGGACACCUUCUCCUGAGAACCCAUUAUGUGCUGAACUUCGGGCCAUUUGUUCGACCUUUAUCAUCUCUGACCCUCACACCAACUCUGAAAACCAAACAGUAACUAUAGCCCAGCCCAGGGAGGCAACCUUCCCUCCUACGGCAGACGAGGCGCUCCCCUCAUGCCUCUGGCUACACGGGACACACCGCAGCAGCGAUUCCCGUGGCCACAGUGCCCUCACCAUGCAUUCUGGGCCCUGCCAAGGCAGCUACUUUGAUCCUGAAUAGGAGACUCCAGAUCACAGGGGAUGUGGAGUUCUUUUUAGGCAGCUGGCAUGAGCUCAGCACAGAUGCCUCCCAGAGCAGAACUGCUUUGCUGCCUCCUGGGAGGUUCAUCAUCAAAACUUCCUGCCCUGACCCACAUUGUGACUCUCUCCAUUUGUGCUUCUGGCUGGAGCUACCAGAUUGGCAUAAUCCACGUCCAACAACCCACACCAUCGGUGAUCCCACUCCCACGUCUUUUCUCACACCACUGUUUCCUCAGAACUC
This is a long non-coding RNA of Kogia breviceps (pygmy sperm whale), 2040 nucleotides long. RefSeq lists it as uncharacterized. The record is from RefSeq and is a predicted model, not a curated record. NCBI's taxonomy places the organism in Eukaryota, Metazoa, Chordata, Mammalia, Artiodactyla, Physeteridae.